AAAAUUAAUCUAGAUUAAUCACAUGAUUUCAUGAGUUAACUGCGAUUAAUCGCAAAUUAAUCGCACAUUUUUAUCCAUUCUAAAUUUACCCUAAUUUAACACUUUUCAGGUUUUUAAUAUUCUAAUCAUAUAUACAUAUAUAGAUGCUUUAUGCAAAUGUAUGUUAACAACAGCCUGUUUACAUUUUAACAGAAUCACCAGCCAUUGUUUUGUAUAAGAAUUUUCCUUUCAGAAGAUUUUUCUUUCUCCAUUUUUGUUUGCUGCUGCAUCAUUUGUGACAUGUGCAGGCAAGUUGAGUCGGAAUUAGCAAAUUUUUAAAAAAUAGUUGUUCAUAUUUUGACAUUCUCUAUUAAAACAUAGAACAAUGCAUGAUUUGUUGAAAUAUAACAAAAUAUGACAGAACUACACGUGUUUGAAGUUGAAAGAGUCAAAUUACCACAAAAAUUUCCACAUCCAUACAUUAUAUUACCACAUCAAUACCUUAAAAUCACUGGUAAAACUAUUAGAUUUAGCACACACAAAGCAAAAACAUCAUCAAUGUAUGUUCAACUUUUUUUCCUUUUGUUUGAUUGACAUUGAGACAGACUGCUUAAAAUCUAAGUGAUCUAAUAUAAUGUUACACAUCAGAUAGUUUUACCCAACAGUUAACCAAACAUUUACUUAAGACAUAACAGAUUAUAGAGCCUACCUGCGUGAAUUCUUAUCAAAACAGAUAUUUGUAAAACUGUAAUUUUGUGUAGAUGUCUAUAUAUCCGGGUCGCGCACUCGCGCGUCUGUGUGCACGCGCUUCAGAUAUCAGUCAGUCAGCGUGAGGGGAUCGCUUUUGAGUCUUGUCGCUCUUAAUAACUCUUUAACAUUAAUCAGGUACCGAACUUUAUCUCUCUUAAUGACUCUUUUAACAUCAAGCAAGUCCUGCAGUCUAUUUUCUAAGUCAUGCAUAAAAGCGAAACCAAAAUGAAUUGAGACGCAUUUUUGUAUUAGAUUAAGCAUUAGGAGGACGGUAACGUUACACCUCUCAGACGUAUAAAUAAAGAUCAUUUCAGAUGUCCAACGAGCAUUUAGAGCAUUGGAUUUGGUAGACGAUUUGCUUAAUGUUCUUAUUUCUAUGAAAACAUUUUACUCAUUUAGAGAGAGUCACAUUUGUCUGCGUCUCUGUUCAUUCAACUAUGGGCUGGACCAAGGGUCAAACAGAAAUUGCGCGUUGCGUUAAUCUCCGUUAAAAAAAUUAGUGGCGUUAAAAUGAAUUUGCGUUAACGCGUUAUUAACGCGUUAAUUUUGACAGCCCUAAUUUCAGCACAAUGUUAUGUGUUUAGUGUCUGUGUAAAUCUAAAUGUCUGUGUGUGGGUGAGGUCAAAGGUCAAGACAACAAACAGUCUGGACAUACUAUCCAUUAGAUACAUGUCGUUUGUGGGAUUGUUUUAUGUGGGUGCUAGUAGUCUACUUUUUCCAGUUGUAGGAUUAACAAAUUUUAGCUGGAGAUUUAUGCUGGUCCACUGUAUUUGUUAUCUGACAAGAGAACAAGAGCAUUACGUCAUUGGCCAGAUCCCAAAACAAUCUCUUGGCAGAAGCAGGGCCGAUAGAAGAGGCAAGUAAGAUGUUUUUCAAUAGGCUGUUGUUGCAGUCAGCGCUGUAUCCUGUAGUUGCUGUGUUUUUUCCAGACUUUCUUUGAAAGGAUUUGGGAGGAGAGGUGGGGUUAAAGGUCAUCACACACUAAGAAUAUCAGGAUUCAAAGGUGCCUUAGUUUCUCAUUAAAUAUGGAAGUGAAUACAACUCCCAUUGGUCUGAGAGUCCCUUGACCUGAUCGCUAAAUAUUGUACCCUAAAUUUGUGUGCAAAUUUGCUCUUUUUAACACAUGCCUAAAUACAGAAUUAUUUCAGUGUUACUUGGUUUAUUCAGGUUUGUAUUUAAUAUUUAGAUUUUACCCUUGAUGGUAAUACCAUUGCCUGCUGCUGCUAUAUAUAGGGUUCUAUCACCCCUUGUGACAAAGCAUGCAGUUUAUGUAUAUUAAGAUGUAGGUAAAUAUUUCUGCAUUGCAAAUAAAUAAUAAAUAGAGCAUAAUUUAAAAGGCUAAUUUAUGACCCUACUAGUCAAUUUUAUAAGCAAUUGUAGAUUCUUUUUAAGGUUCUUAUUUUCUUUGCUUAGAUUUGUAUUCUUUUUGAAUGUAUUAUUUAAAGUUCUGUCCAAAUUUAUUUUUGCAUACGAGAUUUAAGUAUCAUUUUCACUUGAUUCAACUGAUUUCUUCUGUUUACCAGAAUACAUCAAAUAUUAAAUGCAGCUUAUCAGAAUCUGUAUUUCAAAUCCUAAUGCCAAUACUCUUAUACUGGUUUACAUUUUAAACAUUUGUAAUAAUAAAUUUUGAAUUUCGUAAGUGAACUCGUAAUGAAUAUUCAUGUUGGACUCCUCCAGGCUGUAUUAAUAUUGCAUAACUCAUUUGUUUCUAUUACAUAGUUAAAAGAUUGUUUGGCAUGACUUAAAACAACUAUUAUAGGGGUGAUUGAUAUUGGAGGUACAUUUGGUGUCCAAAGACAUUAUUUUAUCAGCUAUUUUCAAAUUGUUUUAUUUUACAUUAUUUUAAUAAUUUGGUAAUCAUGAAUCACAUGACGAUGUUAUAAGCCAUAAUAAUAUAUUAACCUGUUGCUUGAAUUAGUCAGUGUCAAUUCUGUUACCAUCAAACUGUUACAAUAAAGUAAAAGACGAAGAGUGGUCGGUUUAUGAUUGACAAUAUAAAUUAAACACAAAUCUUUUAAUAAAAACAAAGCAAUUUUUUUUAUUCUAAAAAAGAGUGUUUUUCCUGUGUCCUCUUAAAUAGGAAAAUCAUAACACACUAGCUGUACCUGCUUCAAAUAAAUACAGUUAAUUAAAAAAACAAAAUGCAAACUAAGAAAAUGAAUAAACUGAACACAAGUUAUGCAGGUACACACUGCUACUCCAUCCACUUCCGGUCUCAGACAGCACUGUUAUCCUCAGACGGUACAUGACCAGUGACGUCUCGUGACACCUCAUCCGAGGGGCGCUAAUUCAAAAUAUGUGUUCGGAGUUUCAUGUGUGUUGCUUGCGUUUUCAAAAUAUGUGUUUGUUUCGUCAUGUGAACCAUGUGCAUCACGUGUUUUGUCAAAGUAACUGCCUGCUGCACACGCGUCAAAACCGUUUAUGAUAAAAGAGACGCCCACGUUCACAAAAUACACGUAAGACAUUCACUUAACAUUAAACUCUGAUUACGCAUGAGAUUAUGCGAGUAUCUGGCAAACGCGAGCGUCUCCGUACUACGGUGGCCGUCAGGGGUCACUGCCUUGCAAUGAAAGAAAACACAUGCAAAUAGAAAAAACACCAGCAAAUCAAGAAAACAUCUUCAUCAGUUUGACAACACAUGCGCUGCAGAUAUCGCAACACAUCCAAAUACAGAAACGCGUUGCAAAUAUCACAACACGAACAAAACCAGAAACGCGUUCCAAAUCUCACAACACAUCCAAAUACAGAAACGCGUUGCAAAUUCUUACAACACGAACAAAAACAGAAACGCGUUCCAAAUCUCACAACACAACGGAAGUGUUUCAGGGGGGUCACAAAAAGUGAUGCACCGGUCUGAGAAGUGUUUUCGGUUUACAUUCAAUUCGUCCGUGGAGCUUUUGUGAGUUUACAUCGAUCAAAUGAAAGCUAGAGGACCUGUUUUAACAUUGAGGGAAUCCUGACCAGAUGCAUAGUGUGAUAUGGUAGCAUGAUUUAAAUGAACUGCAAGAGCCUGUAGAGAGGGAUAAAGUCUACUGAGAGGAACACAGUACAGAAAGGAGCCGGUUCCAUUGUUAAAAUGCCCACUUAUACCAAACUGUUUCCACCUACAUCCUCUGGCAAUACAUACAGAAGUGUAAGCUACAGGACGUAAAGAUUGAGGAACCGUUUUAUCCAGCAGCCCUCAGUGUUCAAUAUGUCAAAAACAUUAAUUGACCCCAAUAUCACUGUCAUUAUUUUAAUCUCUACACAAACAUUAGUUUAGUACUGCAGGUUUUGAUACACAUAGUCAUAGCCUAGUGGUUAGAGGGUUGGACUUGUAACCCGAAAGUUGCCAGUUCCAGUUUCCGUCUCUGCCGGCAGGUUGCGACUGUGAUGUCCUUGAACAAGGCACAUUAAACCCAAUUGCUCCCCGGGCACUGAAGGAAUAGCUGCCCACUGCUCCGUGUGUGUUCAUCAUUUACUGGGAUGGGUUAAAUGCAGAGGUCACAUUUUUGAGUAUGCGCUGCAUACUUGGCAAGCAUGUCACACUUACACUGCACAGACAACAUUAUAUUGUAUAACAGGUUUCUUUCUAGUUUAUUAUUUUAAUGACAACCACAGUUUAAUGUAAUGUGGCAAUAAAAAGGAAGAAUGUCAUUGUACAGGUAUCUAUACAUAUGAAAAUAAAGGCUUUAAACUUCAAA
Non-coding RNA from Misgurnus anguillicaudatus (oriental weatherfish), 4412 nucleotides. Lineage: Eukaryota; Metazoa; Chordata; Actinopteri; Cypriniformes; Cobitidae. The record is from RefSeq and is a predicted model, not a curated record.